Molecule: ribosomal RNA, 274 nt
Filed under: Campanile symbolicum
Lineage: Eukaryota; Metazoa; Mollusca; Gastropoda; Campanilidae
Description: partial 28S ribosomal RNA gene
Rfam family: Eukaryotic large subunit ribosomal RNA
Source: RNAcentral
UAUCAUUAAGCGGAGGAAAAGAAACUAACAAGGAUUCCCUCAGUAACGGCGAGUGAAGCGGGAAGAGCCCAGCACCGAAUCCCCCGGCCUGUCGUCGGCGGGAACUGUGGUGUAUGGGACGCCAACUGCCCACGGCGUUAGUGGCCGAAGUCCUCCUGAUCGGGGCCUCUCCCAGAGCGGGUGUCAGGCCUUUACAGGCCACCGGCCCGUGGGCUGCGAGCGUCUCCGGAGUCGGGUUGUUUGGGAAUGCAGCCCUAAGCGGGUGGUAAACUCC